UACGGGGGGGGCAAGCGUUGUUCGGAAUUACUGGGCGUAAAGGGCUCGUAGGUGGCCAACUAAGUCGGACGUGAAAUCCCUCGGCUUAACCGGGGAACUGCGUCCGAUACUGGUUGGCUUGAGUUUGGGAGAGGGAUGCGGAAUUCCAGGUGUAGCGGUGAAAUGCGUAGAUAUCAGGAGGAACACCGGUGGCGAAGGCGCCUAUCUGGCCCGAUACUGACGCUGAGGCGCGAAAGCUAGGGGAGCAAACGGG
RNAcentral lists this ribosomal RNA (253 nucleotides) under uncultured bacterium. RNAcentral's name for it is "partial 16S ribosomal RNA". It matches the Rfam family "Bacterial small subunit ribosomal RNA", at positions 524 to 776 of the family's 1533-position model. The record is from RNAcentral.